UAGGGAAUAUUGCACAAUGGGCGAAAGCCUGAUGCAGCAACGCCGCGUGCGCGAAGAAGGUCUUCGGAUCGUAAAGCGCUUUUCUGGGAGAUGAGAAAUGACAGUAUCCCAGGAAUAAGUCUCGGCUAACUACGUGCCAGCAGCCGCGGUAACACGUAGGAGGCGAGCGUUAUCCGGAUUCACUGGGCGUAAAGCGCGUGCAGGCGGUUCGGUAAGUUGGGCGUGAAAUCUCCCGGCUCAACUGGGAGAGGACGUUCAAUACUACCGAACUUGAGAGCGAUAGAGGAAAAUGGAAUUCCCGGUGUAGUGGUGAAAUGCGUAGAUAUCGGGAGGAACACCAGUGGCGAAAGCGAUUUUCUGGAUCGUUUCUGACGCUCAGACGCGAAAGCUAGGGUAGCAAAC
Molecule: ribosomal RNA, 402 nt
Filed under: uncultured bacterium
Lineage: Bacteria
Description: bacterial SSU rRNA
Rfam family: Bacterial small subunit ribosomal RNA
Source: RNAcentral